RNAcentral lists this unclassified non-coding RNA (330 nucleotides) under soil metagenome. RNAcentral describes it as "partial contains 5.8S ribosomal RNA, internal transcribed spacer 2, and large subunit ribosomal RNA". The stretch from base 1 to 120 matches the Rfam family "5.8S ribosomal RNA", at positions 35 to 154 of the family's 154-position model. The record is from RNAcentral.
GAUGAAGAACGUAGCAAAAUGCGAUAAGUAAUGUGAAUUGCAGAAUUCAGUGAAUCAUCGAAUCUUUGAACGCACAUUGCGCCCGCCAGUAUUCUGGCGGGCAUGCCUGUUCGAGCGUCAUUUCAACCCUCAAGCACAGCUUGGUGUUGGGACUCGCGUUAAUUCGCGUUCCCCAAAUUGAUUGGCGGUCACGUCGAGCUUCCAUAGCGUAGUAGUAAAACCCUCGUUACUGGUAAUCGUCGCGGCCACGCCGUUAAACCCCAACUUCUGAAUGUUGACCUCGGAUCAGGUAGGAAUACCCGCUGAACUUAAGCAUAUCUAAGCGGAGGA